AACGAACGCUGGCGGCGUACUUAACACAUGCAAGUCGAACGAGGAUCAUCGGGUUAGCAAUAAUUCGGUGGUCCUAGUGGCGCACGGGUGAGUAACACGUGGGUGACCUGCCCUUGAGCUCGGGAUACCCCCUCGAAAGGGGGCGUAUACCGGAUACGUUCCUCGGUCGAAAGACUGAGGAGGAAAGGUGGCGCAAGCUGCCGCUCUUGGAGGGGCUCGCGGCCUAUCAGCUAGUUGGCGGGGAACGGCCCACCAAGGCUAUGACGGGUAGCUGGUCUGAGAGGACGACCAGCCACACGGGGACUGAGACACGGCCCCGACUCCUACGGGAGGCAGC
RNAcentral lists this ribosomal RNA (337 nucleotides) under uncultured bacterium. RNAcentral describes it as "bacterial SSU rRNA". It matches the Rfam family "Bacterial small subunit ribosomal RNA", at positions 28 to 352 of the family's 1533-position model. The record is from RNAcentral.